GAGCGCACUGGAAGCUGUAAUUCAGGGGCGGUAGCGUG
Non-coding RNA from Aeromonas schubertii, 38 nucleotides. The record is from Rfam. NCBI's taxonomy places the organism in Bacteria, Pseudomonadati, Pseudomonadota, Gammaproteobacteria, Aeromonadales, Aeromonadaceae.